ACACAUGCAGUCGAGCGGUAACAGGAAGGAAGCUUGCUUUCUUUGCUGACGAGCGGCGGACGGGUGAGUAAUGCCUGGGAAAUUGCCCUGAUGUGGGGGAUAACCAUUGGAAACGAUGGCUAAUACCGCAUGAUGCCUACGGGCCAAAGAGGGGGACCUUCGGGCCUCUCGCGUCAGGAUAUGCCUAGGUGGGAUUAGCUAGUUGGUGAGGUAAUGGCUCACCAAGGCGACGAUCCCUAGCUGGUCUGAGAGGAUGAUCAGCCACACUGGAACUGAGACACGGUCCAGACUCCUACGGGAGGCAGCAGUGGGGAAUAUUGCACAAUGGGCGCAAGCCUGAUGCAGCCAUGCCGCGUGUAUGAAGAAGGCCUUCGGGUUGUAAAGUACUUUCAGUCGUGAGGAAGGGGGUAUCGUUAAUAGCGGUAUUCUUUGACGUUAGCGACAGAAGAAGCACCGGCUAACUCCGUGCCAGCAGCCGCGGUAAUACGGAGGGUGCGAGCGUUAAUCGGAAUUACUGGGCGUAAAGCGCAUGCAGGUGGUUUGUUAAGUCAGAUGUGAAAGCCCGGGGCUCAACCUCGGAGUUGCAUUUGAAACUGGCAGGCUAGAGUACUGUAGAGGGGGGUAGAAUUUCAGGUGUAGCGGUGAAAUGCGUAGAGAUCUGAAGGAAUACCGGUGGCGAAAGCGGCCCCCUGGACAGAUACUGACACUCAGAUGCGAAAGCGUGGGGAGCAAACAGGAUUAGAUACCCUGGUAGUCCACGCUGUAAAC
Molecule: ribosomal RNA, 768 nt
Filed under: uncultured bacterium
Lineage: Bacteria
Description: bacterial SSU rRNA
Rfam family: Bacterial small subunit ribosomal RNA
Source: RNAcentral